RNAcentral lists this ribosomal RNA (479 nucleotides) under uncultured bacterium. Its description in RNAcentral is "partial 16S ribosomal RNA". It matches the Rfam family "Bacterial small subunit ribosomal RNA", at positions 28 to 523 of the family's 1533-position model. The record is from RNAcentral.
GACGAACGCUGGCGGCGUGCUUAACACAUGCAAGUCGAGCGGAAAGGCCCUUUCGGGGUACUCGAGCGGCGAACGGGUGAGUAACACGUGAGUAAUCCGCCCCUGGCUUUGGGAUAGCCACCGGAAACGGUGAUUAAUACCGGAUACGACCACUUCUCGCAUGGGAUGGUGGUGGAAAGUUUUUCGGCCAGGGAUGUGCUCGCGGCCUAUCAGCUUGAUGGUGAGGUGAUGGCUCACCAUGGCUUCGACGGGUAGCCGGCCUGAGAGGGUGACCGGUGACAGUGGGACUGAGACACGGCCCAAACUCCUACGGGAGGCAGCAGUGGGGAAUAUUGGACAAUGGGCGGAAGCCUGAUCCAGCAACGCCGCGUGAGGGAUGACGGCCUUCGGGUUGUAAACCUCUUUCAGCAGGGACGAAGCGCAAGUGACGGUACCUGCAGAAGAAGCACCGGCCAACUACGUGCCAGCCGCCGCCGUAA